RNAcentral lists this transfer RNA (77 nucleotides) under Candidatus Omnitrophota bacterium. RNAcentral's name for it is "tRNA-Val". It matches the Rfam family "tRNA". From Rfam's summary of the family: Transfer RNA (tRNA) molecules are approximately 80 nucleotides in length. Their secondary structure includes four short double-helical elements and three loops (D, anti-codon, and T loops). Further hydrogen bonds mediate the characteristic L-shaped molecular structure. tRNAs have two regions of fundamental functional importance: the anti-codon, which is responsible for specific mRNA codon recognition, and the 3' end, to which the tRNAs corresponding amino acid is attached (by aminoacyl-tRNA synthetases). tRNAs cope with the degeneracy of the genetic code in two manners: having more than one tRNA (with a specific anti-codon) for a particular amino acid; and 'wobble' base-pairing, i.e. permitting non-standard base-pairing at the 3rd anti-codon position. Lineage: Bacteria; Pseudomonadati; Candidatus Omnitrophota. The record is from RNAcentral.
GGGCACUUAGCUCAGUUGGUUAGAGCGUUGCGUUCACAUCGCAGAGGUCAGAGGUUCGACCCCUCUAGUGCCCACCA